This 513-nucleotide ribosomal RNA is filed under the name bacterium enrichment culture clone ALO1_GLFRUDD03GRTVB. RNAcentral's name for it is "bacterial SSU rRNA". It matches the Rfam family "Bacterial small subunit ribosomal RNA", at positions 9 to 517 of the family's 1533-position model. The record is from RNAcentral.
GAGUUUGAUCAUGGCUCAGAUUGAACGCUGGCGGCAGGCCUAACACAUGCAAGUCGAGCGGAUGACGGGAGCUUGCUCCUUGAUUCAGCGGCGGACGGGUGAGUAAUGCCUGGGAAUCUGCCUGGUAGUGGGGGACAACGUUUCGAAAGGAACGCUAAUACCGCAUACGUCCUACGGGAGAAAGCAGGGGACCUUCGGGCCUUGCGCUAUCAGAUGAGCCUAGGUCGGAUUAGCUAGUUGGUGGGGUAAUGGCUCACCAAGGCGACGAUCCGUAACUGGUCUGAGAGGAUGAUCAGUCACACUGGAACUGAGACACGGUCCAGACUCCUACGGGAGGCAGCAGUGGGGAAUAUUGGACAAUGGGCGAAAGCCUGAUCCAGCCAUGCCGCGUGUGUGAAGAAGGUCUUCGGAUUGUAAAGCACUUUAAGUUGGGAGGAAGGGCAGUAAGUUAAUACCUUGCUGUUUUGACGUUACCGACAGAAUAAGCACCGGCUAACUCUGUGCCAGCCGCCG